UACGUAGGGUGCGAGCGUUGUCCGGAAUUAUUGGGCGUAAAGAGCUCGUAGGCGGUGUGUCACGUCGUUCGUGAAAACCUGCAGCUUAACUGUGGGCGUGCGGUCGAUACGGGCAUCACUGGAGUUCGGCAGGGGAGACUGGAAUUCCUGGUGUAGCGGUGAAAUGCGCAGAUAUCAGGAGGAACACCAAUAGCGAAGGCAGCUCGCUGGGACGUUACUGACACUGAGGCGCGAAAGCGUGGGGAGCGAACAGG
RNAcentral lists this ribosomal RNA (254 nucleotides) under uncultured bacterium. RNAcentral describes it as "partial 16S ribosomal RNA". It matches the Rfam family "Bacterial small subunit ribosomal RNA", at positions 524 to 776 of the family's 1533-position model. The record is from RNAcentral.